RNAcentral lists this ribosomal RNA (468 nucleotides) under Aureobasidium sp. RNAcentral describes it as "eukaryotic LSU rRNA". The stretch from base 113 to 266 matches the Rfam family "5.8S ribosomal RNA". The record is from RNAcentral. Lineage: Eukaryota; Fungi; Ascomycota; Dothideomycetes; Dothideales; Saccotheciaceae.
GACCGCUCGGUCUCGAGCCGCUGGGGAUUCGUCCCAGGCGAGCGCCCGCCAGAGUUAAACCAAACUCUUGUUAUUUAACCGGUCGUCUGAGUAAAAAUUUUGAAUAAAUCAAAACUUUCAACAACGGAUCUCUUGGUUCUCGCAUCGAUGAAGAACGCAGCGAAAUGCGAUAAGUAAUGUGAAUUGCAGAAUUCAGUGAAUCAUCGAAUCUUUGAACGCACAUUGCGCCCCUUGGUAUUCCGAGGGGCAUGCCUGUUCGAGCGUCAUUACACCACUCAAGCUAUGCUUGGUAUUGGGCGUCGUCCUUAGUUGGGCGCGCCUUAAAGACCUCGGCGAGGCCACUCCGGCUUUAGGCGUAGUAGAAUUUAUUCGAACGUCUGUCAAAGGAGAGGAACUCUGCCGACUGAAACCUUUAUUUUUCUAGGUUGACCUCGGAUCAGGUAGGGAUACCCGCUGAACUUAAGCAUA